RNAcentral lists this ribosomal RNA (239 nucleotides) under uncultured bacterium. Its description in RNAcentral is "partial 16S ribosomal RNA". It matches the Rfam family "Bacterial small subunit ribosomal RNA", at positions 96 to 334 of the family's 1533-position model. The record is from RNAcentral.
CGGCGGACGGGUGAGUAACGCGUGGGUAACCUGCCUCAUACAGGGGGAUAACAGUUGGAAACGGCUGCUAAUACCGCAUAAAGCGCACAGUACCGCAUGGUACGGUGUGAAAAACUCCGGUGGUAUGAGAUGGACCCGCGUCUGAUUAGGUAGUUGGUGGGGUAACGGCCUACCAAGCCGACGAUCAGUAGCCGACCUGAGAGGGUGACCGGCCACAUUGGGACUGAGACACGGCCCAA